CAGUAGCCACGGUAAUACGAAGGGUGCAAGCGUUAAUCGGAAUUACUGGGCGUAAAGCGUGCGUAGGCGGUGAGUUAAGUCUGCUGUGAAAUCCUCGGGCUCAACCUGGGAAUGGCAGUGGAUACUGGCUCGCUAGAGUGUGUCAGAGGAUGGUGGAAUUCCCGGUGUAGCGGUGAAAUGCGUAGAGAUCGGGAGGAACAUCAGUGGCGAAGGCGACUAUCUGGGUCAACACUGACGCUGAGGCACGAAAGCGUGGGGAGCAAACAGGAUUAGAUACCCCUGUAGUCCCUGUCUCUUAUAU
RNAcentral lists this ribosomal RNA (301 nucleotides) under uncultured bacterium. RNAcentral's name for it is "partial 16S ribosomal RNA". It matches the Rfam family "Bacterial small subunit ribosomal RNA", at positions 509 to 809 of the family's 1533-position model. The record is from RNAcentral.